GGGAGAGGCGGGCAGCCCAGGACGCUCAUUGCGGGGGUGCGGGGGUGCUGGGGAAUUACACAUGCAGAGCAGAGCCCGGAGGCCAGCCGGGGGGCGGUGUCCCGACCGCCAACGACCCCGAAACACCCGAGCGCAGAACAGGAAUCCGGGCGAUUGGCUGGCACCCAGGUCCUAGCACUGCGCUCCCAGCCGGGCUUUACCCCCGCCCGGAAUUUCACAAGGACCUGCGGUGCCUGGGCCGCAGAGCCACUCGGGAGCACGGUUCCCUGGCGUCGCAGCUCCGGCGGUGUCCCACUUGCCGCCACUCGGAUGACCGGAUGGCGGUGAUGGAGAUGCACUAAAUGGAGCCGUGGCUCGGGACGGAGUGUGCGCGGGGGCUGCGGGGCGGGUGCAGGCGUCUGCUAUCUCCUCACCAAGAAGCCUGCCGCAUCUUAAAACCACCAGUGUCACGAGCUGUCUUCUGGAAGGUGGAAAUGGGCAGGAUGUGGUUUGAACUGACAAAAAAAUAAAGCAGCCCAUUCCUCAAGAGGGAGUUGGAAGUGAUUGCGAGGCAUGAGAAGGAGGGAGUGUGUCUUUCUGACUUGGAGCCAGCUGGCCAGGCGAGUCGGGACCAGCCACACCGGUUCCUUCGCACCAAGAUGGUAAACAACAACAACAACCAAACACACGCACACAACCACCACCGGAAAGCAAGGCCGAAUGGAUCGACGGUAUUUCUUGUUUGCAAUAGGAAAACGUAUCAAUACAGCAACUUUCACACUGCGGAAGACAUUCACAUACACUUGGUGCUUGCAGCAGCCUGCAGAGAAACGCGGAGCUCGGUCGGAGUUCCCAGGUUCCAGGGAAGGCCGCGGGAUAGGGCAUGCUCGUGCAGAUGGCGAGUCAGAGAGCGUGCCCAGGAAUCCACAAGUCCUGGGGUCUGAUUCAAAUCCAGUGUCUGCUGCUUCUGAAGUCAGGUAAACAGAGCCCCAUUUCAGAGAAAGGAGCAGGUGCCCCCACGGCCCCCCGCAGAAGCCCCUCGUGCCAUCGCAGCAUGCACCACGUGGCACUGUCACGGCCUGGGGACUCCAUCACCGCUUUACCAUGUGCCCCCCUGCCCGGCACCUUGCUGGCCCAUUAAGACACUCAGUGAAGGUCUGGCGACUCAGUAAUGGACUAUAAAUAAUGAAAACACCCAGAGGCCGCUCAUCUCCAAAGAUUCAGGUCCAGAAUUCUCCCCACUACUUUGGGAUCUUGUGGUAGAAAGGUUUUGGCCCUGCCUUCCUAAGCCAGUUAACUAGAAGAAAAGCCCUGGGGUCCGGGGCCCUGUUGGUGGGAAUGUGAACUGGUGCAGCCACCCCGGAAAACUGCAUGGAGGUUCCUCAAAGAGUUAAAAAUAGAGCUACUCUUGACCCAGCAAUUGCACUGCUGGGGAUU
This is a long non-coding RNA of Canis lupus familiaris (dog), 1416 nucleotides long. RefSeq lists it as uncharacterized. The transcript is spliced from 3 exons. NCBI's taxonomy places the organism in Eukaryota, Metazoa, Chordata, Mammalia, Carnivora, Canidae. The record is from RefSeq and is a predicted model, not a curated record.